GCUUAACACAUGCAAGUCGAACGGUGAAGCCCAGCUUGCUGGGUGGAUCAGUGGCGAACGGGUGAGUAACACGUGAGCAACCUGCCCCUGACUCUGGGAUAAGCGCUGGAAACGGCGUCUAAUACUGGAUAUGUGAUGUGACCGCAUGGUCUGCAUCUGGAAAGAAUUUCGGUUGGGGAUGGGCUCGCGGCCUAUCAGCUUGUUGGUGAGGUAAUGGCUCACCAAGGCGUCGACGGGUAGCCGGCCUGAGAGGGUGACCGGCCACACUGGGACUGAGACACGGCCCAGACUCCUACGGGAGGCAGCAGUGGGGAAUAUUGCACAAUGGGCGCAAGCCUGAUGCAGCAACGCCGCGUGAGGGAUGACGGCCUUCGGGUUGUAAACCUCUUUUAGCAGGGAAGAAGCGAAAGUGACGGUACCUGCAGAAAAAGCACCGGCUAACUACGUGCCAGCAGCCGCGGUAAUACGUAGGGUGCAAGCGUUAUCCGGAAUUAUUGGGCGUAAAGAGCUCGUAGGCGGUUUGUCGCGUCUGCUGUGAAAUCUGGAGGCUCAACCUCCAGCCUGCAGUGGGUACGGGCAGACUAGAGUGCGGUAGGGGAGAUUGGAAUUCCUGGUGUAGCGGUGGAAUGCGCAGAUAUCAGGAGGAACACCGAUGGCGAAGGCAGAUCUCUGGGCCGUUACUGACGCUGAGGAGCGAAAGGGUGGGGAGCAAACAGGCUUAGAUACCCUGGUAGUCCACCCCGUAAACGUUGGGAACUAGUUGUGGGGUCCAUUCC
Molecule: ribosomal RNA, 776 nt
Filed under: Microbacterium sp.
Lineage: Bacteria; Bacillati; Actinomycetota; Actinomycetes; Micrococcales; Microbacteriaceae
Description: bacterial SSU rRNA
Rfam family: Bacterial small subunit ribosomal RNA
Source: RNAcentral